Molecule: non-coding RNA, 45 nt
Organism: Macrostomum lignano
Lineage: Eukaryota; Metazoa; Platyhelminthes; Macrostomidae
Source: Rfam
CUAAAGGUGUUCUUCAACACCACCUUUUUGAACUAUAUAUUGACG